Ictidomys tridecemlineatus (thirteen-lined ground squirrel) is the source of this 1672-nucleotide non-coding RNA. The record is from RefSeq and is a predicted model, not a curated record. Lineage: Eukaryota; Metazoa; Chordata; Mammalia; Rodentia; Sciuridae.
CAGCGGCCUUGGGGUUGAAGAGUAACUCUGGCUUAGCAAGCCCAGCCACUCAGGAUUAUCUGCCCUCAAAACCCCACCACUUCUUUCCUAGUCUCUCUGGCUGGGGCUUGUUGAACCCAAAAUAUCUCCAAGGACAUCGCUGUACCUGAACUUAAUCCUUCUCUGCACUUUUUUAGGUAAAUAAUGGCUAUUAUUUGUCCCUUCCUCAGAGGACAAAACUGAAGUUUGGAAAGGGGGCCAGCUCUUUGCAGAUCCCUUUCUUGCUCCCACACCACGACCUUGCAUCAGGGGUGAUAAAUCCCAGACCCUAGGAAGCCCGGCCUCGGCCCGCCCUCUAGCCGCCUACGUGUCUCCGUUCUCGUCCUGAGCCAUCAGCAGGUGGCGCUGUCCCGCCAACAGCGCGCGGGCGUCCGCCGUGACGCCGUAGUCGAGCAAGGCUUGGGCGCUGCGCUGCGUCAGGCCAAACAGGCGCGCGUUGUACUCCCGAGCUGGGGGUGACAGGGGGCAUGGUAGGAUGCAUGAUUGGUCUCCAGCCCCGGCGUCCCGACCGUUCACAUUUUGGAGGCCAUACCUCGUAGCAGGGCGUUUGGAGCCUGUGGUUCGCCCUCUGGGUUUCCAGGGGGCGCGCUUGGCUCUGCCGCUUCCUCCAUAGCAUCCACACCCGGCGAGGAGGAGGCCAUCUGCGCCCCGCCCCCGCCGCCCGGGUAGCAGCCCAUUGGGGCUGCGCCGGACUGGUAGGGGCUGUAGGCCAAGGAGGAGGGGAAAAAGCCGAGGCUGCCACCUGUGGGUACAGGCAGGGCUGUGGGGAGCGGGCACCAGCCAGGACUCUCCCCAGUUUCUUCCCCACCAUUUCUUCCCCCCCAUCCCUAUCCCCUCCACACCUCUUCAGCCUUCAGCACCCCUCACCUCCUCCUCCAGCUCCUCCAUAACCCCCAGCAGAGCCCCCAGAGCCUCCACCCAUGUGCGAGCCACCUCCAAAGGGCUGGGAGAAGGUAGGCAAUGCCUUCCUCCGCUUCCGCUGCACCUCCUCCUUGUCUGGGGGCAAAGGCAAACAAAUGUUAAAUCUCUAGUUCAAGGAUCAUGCCUUAGGGUCUCUUUUUUCAAAAGUACUCAGACUGGCUCCUAGAAAUCACCUCUUGGGAACCCUCCAGCCCAGCCCAGUCCCAUAGGAUCCUCAAGCCCAGUUCCACCUUCCACCAGAGGAUAAUAGGUGAACUGUUUGGAGUCAGAUACAUCCCCUCCACGCUUGCGUUUCAGUUGUAGGAACACCGUUACAGGCCGCUCAAUCUUCAUCUUGUGAUAGGGAGGUGUCCGGAACACAAUGGCAUACUGAGAGGGUGGGGGACAACACAGGGUGUCAGUCAGGCCUUUGCCUAGUUCAUCCCCUAGCCCAGGCCCUGAUCCCUAAGUACCUGUUUAUGAACAUCUGUGGGAGAGAAGUCCCCAAAGGCCUGCCAUCCAUUCUCAUCAUCCUCAUAGAACCGAACCUCAAUGUCAUCUACAGGAAAAGUGAAGCUUGACCAUAGUUUCUGGGAGAACCUUCACAGCCAUUUAUCCUGGACCUGCUCUGAUCCUCAGGCUAGAACUCAGUGUCCCUAAUUCCCAGUUUAGGCUCCAGCCUCACCUUUCUGCACCUUGUCACAAAGCAGAUAAACUUCAUCUCCACCCCGUA